Long non-coding RNA from Cyprinus carpio carpio, 730 nucleotides. Lineage: Eukaryota; Metazoa; Chordata; Actinopteri; Cypriniformes; Cyprinidae. The record is from Ensembl.
GCGGUGUCCUUGUCCAAAGCCGUUCCCGAGGCCGUUCCCGAGGCCGUUCCCGAGGCGGUGCCCGAGGUCGUGCCCGAGGCCGUUCCCGAGGCGGUGUCCUUGUCCAAAGCCGUUCCUGAGGCCAUUCCUGAGGCCGUUCCUGAGACCGUUCCCGAGGCGGUGCCCGAUGCCGAGGUCGUUCCCGAGGCGGUGCCCGAUGCCGAGGCCGUUCCCGAGGCGGGGUCCUUGUCCAAUGCCGUUCCUGAGGCCAUUCCUGAGGCGGUGCCCGAUGCUGUUCCGGAGGCCGAUGCGGGGCCCGAGAUGGUUCCGGAGACAAUACCCGUGUCCAAGGCCGUUCCCGAGGCGGUGCCCUUGUCUGAGGCCGUUCCCGAUGCCGUUCCCAAUGCCGUGACCUGGCCAUCGCCACAGCCUGCUCCUUACUGGCUCCCCGAUUGGCAGGUUCCGUUCGGGCCACUCAAAUGGCGAAUUCCUCCCUGGCCGUCUGCACAACGAGAAUGGACUGAUCCACCGUGGCCACCUGAACUGCCUGGCCCCUCGUGGUCCCCUGAACUUUCGGGUCCACCGUGGCCACCUGAACUGCCUGGUCCCUCGUGGUCCCCUGAACUUGCGGGUCCACCAUGGCCCCCUGAUCUGACCGAGCCACCUGGGCUACCAGGGGAGCCAUCACUGCCGGUCCCAGUUCCCCUACACGGGCCUGGCCCGCCAUCCCUCCCCCUGUUCUGCCUCCACC